RNAcentral lists this long non-coding RNA (405 nucleotides) under Setaria italica (foxtail millet). Its description in RNAcentral is "long non-coding RNA (SITA_LNC006481)". The record is from RNAcentral. Lineage: Eukaryota; Viridiplantae; Streptophyta; Magnoliopsida; Poales; Poaceae.
CUAAUUUCUACUUAAAUAUAUGUUUUAAAUCUUGUAAGGGCAUUUUUGUCUAGUACCUUAGCGAGAAGAUUACAUGCAUUCUUUGCAGCUUUUGUUGGUGGUAUGCUGUGUGCUGCUGUUGUUUUGCACAAGUCUUGAUCUCUAAUUUCUACUUAAAUAUAUGUUUUAAAUCUUGUAAGGGUAUUUUUGAAGACCGCAUUUUUGUCUAGUACCUUAGCGAGAAGAUUACAUGCAUUCUUUGCAGCUUUUGUUGGUGGUACGCUGUGUGCUGCUGUUGUUUUGUACUUGCAAAGCAUAUCCCGGAUGGACUUGAGACUUGAGAGGGCUUUUCUCAAAUGAAUUUGUUUUUCUGUUGCCCAAAUGAAUUUGUCCUGCAUAGGGUUUUUUUUAUUAAAAAUGCUGAAG